This is a non-coding RNA of Rattus norvegicus (Norway rat), 2176 nucleotides long. The record is from RefSeq and is a predicted model, not a curated record. Lineage: Eukaryota; Metazoa; Chordata; Mammalia; Rodentia; Muridae.
CCGGCAGUCACCGCGGCGACUGGCGGCAGGGGCCUUGCGCCUGGAGCUUCAACGGGCUCUGUCCCCGCCCACAGCAGUCUCGCCCCGCCCCUCCCCGCCUCGGCCACUCCCGCCGCCGCGCCUCGCCGCGCCUCGGCUUGGCGUACCUGCAGAGCAGGUGUGUAUGAACGGUGACUGGCUAUCCUGCAUCCGGAAGUCAGAAAACAACACCGCGGAACUCAGAGGACAAACUUCAGCAGCCAGCACUCUCUACCCUGUGGGGCCCAGUGAGUCCCGGGAAUAAAGCGGAGAACCGUUGAGACCACCCAGGGCAACAUCUGGCCCAUGUGUCCUCACACAGAUGCUCACACACAGAAGGAAAUACCAACUCUGGGGCUUCGUCCCAGAGCCACUAAAUCAAACUUUGUGUUCAGAGAAGUAGUCUAGAUCACUCUGGUGAGCACCGAGGUCUGAGAGCUGCUCUAAAGUAGCAAUAAUACACACAGGACAGGAGAAGGUACAUCGUGAAGUAAAAGGAAUGAAUGUAAGGAGUUUGAUGUUUUGCGGUGGCAAAUGGCUGAGAGAUCACAAAGGCAAACGGUUAGAGCUAUAGCCAUGAGGGUAAUUGAAAGAAAAACUGGUGUCGGGCCAAUUUACCUUUGAGUAAUGUGAAGGCUGGUCUUUGUUUUAUAGGAACAAAAUAAGAGAAGGCUAAAUAAGAAAGACGUAAUCUAAAGUAAAUCCAAGGCCAACAGAAAAACAUUCCUCAGCUACACAUACGAAACAGGCAAAGAGGGGACUCUCACACACAUUCCUGAGCAGGGAAGAGAAAAUAACGCAAUUGACCAUGUAUAAGCUUGUAUUGAAAAGCCUUGGCCAAAACUACAGGCUAGAGAGAUGGCUCAGCAGUUUGGAGCACUGGCUGCUCUUCCAGAGGACCUCAGUUCAAUUCCUAGCACAUACAUGGUCGCUCACAGCUGUACCUCCACUUCCAGCAGAUCUGACGCCCUCUUCUGGCCACUGCAGGCACUGCAUGAAGACUGCGCACAGACGUACAUGCAGGCAAAAUAAUGGCAGGACAUAGAGCUCCGUUGGCAGAGGGUUGAACAAUCAGCACUGCAAACCCAGGCAUGGUGACACAUGUCUGUGAUAUAGGGAGGAGGGAGGGGAAAAGGGUGCUUUCUAUCAUGUAUAAAACUCCCUUUCACUUUGGAAACGUCUUGAAUUUAGCUUCUUUACUUUGUAAGUAGAGAGCUUUAUCCUUGUUCACCUUUCGGCUUAAUGCUGAGGUCAACUGAAAUAACACUUGCAAAAACGCUCCUCUGAGUUAACCAAAGGUCCCCAGGCUUUAUGGAGCCUGCUUGUCAUCCGAGCCCUUGGGAACCUGAAUCAGGACAGCAAGUCCAGACAUGGGCUUCAUAGAAAGUCUCUAUUUAAGAAAAAAGACUUGAGGGCUGGAGAGAUGGCUCAGUGGUUAGAGCACUGACUGCUCUUCCAGAGGUCCUGAGUUCAAUUCCCAGCAACCACAUGGUGGCUCACGACCAUCUGUAAUGGGAUCCAAUGCCCUCUUCUGGUCUGUCCAAAGACAGUGACCGUGUACUCACAUACAUGGAAUAAAUAAAUAAAUCUUAAAAAAAAAGAAAAAAAGAAAAAGAAAAAAGACUUGUGUGUUAUAAAAAUACUUCUGAACGUAUGCCGUCGUUUGUCCAUUUGUCAUUCUGGUUUAUUUUUGUUAUUAUUAAAUGUGUGGUUUUUAAGGAAUUAACAUACACACAUACACACAUACACACACACAUACACACACAUACACACAUACACACAUACAUACACAUACACACAUACACACAUACAUACACACAGACACACACAGACACACAGACACACAUACACACACAUAUACACACAUACACACAUACACACACAUACACACACAUACACACAUACACACACAUACACUCAUACACACACAUACACAUAUACACACAUACACACAUACAUACACAGACACACACAUAUACACACAUACACACACAUACACACACAUACACACAUACACACACAUACACACAUAUACACACAUACACACAUACACACACAUACACACACAUACAUACACACACAUACACACACAUACACACAUACACACAUACAUACACAGCAACGUCUUUCAAGCAGUACAAAAAAAUCACAGUGUGGU